RNAcentral lists this ribosomal RNA (253 nucleotides) under uncultured bacterium. Its description in RNAcentral is "partial 16S ribosomal RNA". It matches the Rfam family "Bacterial small subunit ribosomal RNA", at positions 524 to 776 of the family's 1533-position model. The record is from RNAcentral.
UACAGAGGUGGCAAGCGUUAUUCGGAUUCACUGGGCGUAAAGGGUGCGCAGGCGGCCAAGUGUGUGAGGCGUGAAAGCCCGGGGCUUAACCCCGGAAUUGCACCUCAAACUACAUGGCUAGAGCAUUGGAGAGGGUAGCAGAAUUCAUGGUGUAGCAGUGAAAUGCGUAGAUAUCAUGAGGAAUACCAGAGGCGAAGGCGGCUACCUGGACAAUUGCUGACGCUCAGGCACGAAAGCGUGGGGAGCAAAAGGG